This 497-nucleotide ribosomal RNA is filed under the name uncultured bacterium. RNAcentral describes it as "partial 16S ribosomal RNA". It matches the Rfam family "Bacterial small subunit ribosomal RNA", at positions 28 to 507 of the family's 1533-position model. The record is from RNAcentral.
GAUGAACGCUGGCGGCGUGCCUAAUACAUGCAAGUCGAGCGAACAGACGAGGAGCUUGCUCCUCUGACGUUAGCGGCGGACGGGUGAGUAACACGUGGAUAACCUACCUAUAAGACUGGGAUAACUUCGGGAAACCGGAGCUAAUACCGGAUAAUAUAUUGAACCGCAUGGUUCAAUAGUGAAAGACGGUUUUGCUGUCACUUAUAGAUGGAUCCGCGCCGCAUUAGCUAGUUGGUAAGGUAACGGCUUACCAAGGCAACGAUGCGUAGCCGACCUGAGAGGGUGAUCGGCCUCACUGGAACUGAGACACGGUCCAGACUCCUACGGGAGGCAGCAGUAGGGAAUCUUCCGCAAUGGGCGAAAGCCUAACGGAGCAACGCCGCGUGAGUGAUGAAGGUCUUCGGAUCGUAAAACUCUGUUAUUAGGGAAGAACAAAUGUGUAAGUAACUAUGCACGUCUUGACGGUACCUAAUCAGAAAGCCACGGCUAACUACGUG